This 1329-nucleotide ribosomal RNA is filed under the name Planctomycetes bacterium DG_58. Its description in RNAcentral is "bacterial LSU rRNA". It matches the Rfam family "Bacterial large subunit ribosomal RNA", at positions 1 to 1144 of the family's 2925-position model. Lineage: Bacteria; Pseudomonadati; Planctomycetota. The record is from RNAcentral.
UUGUGGUCAAGCUACUAAGGGUGCAUGGUGGAUGUCUUGGCACCAAGAGCCGAUGAAGGGCGUAGCAGGCUGCGAAACGCCCCGGGGAGCUGCCUAGCGAGCGUUGAUCCGGGGGUACCCGAAUGGGAGAUCCCGACGGGAGUAGUGUCCCGUCAUCCGCGACUGAAUGCAUAGGUCGCGGAGGGUAACGGAGCGAACUGAAACAUCUAAGUAGCUCCAGGAAAGGAAAGCAAGUGCGACUUCCCCAGUAGCGGCGAGCGAAAAGGAACAAGCCCAAACCGGGCGUGUGUAAGCUCGUGUGCGUUGCACGUUCGGGGUCGUGGGAGCUUCCACGCGCGGACACGACCGUGCGAUGGAGUUACAAAGGUCAAGACGAGAAGAACGACGCGGACAACGUCGACCAUAGAGGGUGACAGUCCCGUAUUCGUAGGGUUGACCCUCCAGGAAGUUUCCCAAGUAAGGCCGGAGCCGUGGAACCCGGUCUGAAUUCGGGAGGCCCACCUCCUAAGGCUGAGUACUCCUUGGUGACCGAUAGUGCAAAAGUAGCGUGAGUGAAAGAUGAAAAGAACCCCUUUGAGGGGAGUUAACGAACCUGAAACCAUGUACCUACAAGCGGUCGGAGGACUAUGCCGGGGAUCAGAUCCUAGAAACUAGACCGGUAUUGGAGAGCGAAAGCGGUCAAAGACAGCGGAAGAUAUCUCAGUGAGAAUCCCGGCCUGUCUGGCGAGUACUUCUCUGAGAGAUCUAGUUUCUAGUGUCUGGUCUCCGGAAGGUCUGACGGCGUGCCUUUUGCUUAAUGAACCGGCGAGUUGCUGUGUGCUGCAAGGUUAAGCCCUUCAGGGGCGUAGCCCCAGCGAAAGCGAGUGUGAAAUGCGCGACAAGGUAGCACGCAGCAGACCCGAAACCAGGUGAUCUACGCAUGGCCAGGUUGAAACGCUCGUAAAAGGGCGUGGAGGACCGAACCCGUUUACGUUGAAAAGUGAUGGGAUGAGCUGUGCGGAGGAGUAAAAGUCUAAUCAAACCUGGAGACAGCUGGUUCUCCCCGAAAUAGCUUUAGGGCUAGCCUCGUGUUACUCUGUCGUGGGGGUAGAGCCACUGAAUGAAUAGAGGGAGCCUCCAGCUUACCUCGUUCAAUCAAACUCCGAAUACCACGACAACUAUCACGGGAGUCAGACCGUGAGGGACAAGCUUCACGGUCAAGAGGGAAACAGCCCAGACCGCCAGCUAAGGUCCCCAAUAUCCGCUCAGUGGUAAAGGAAGUGAUGACGCGGAGACAGCCAGGAUGUUGGCUUAGAAGCAGCCACCAUUUAAAAAGUGCGUAACAGCUUA